GGAGUUUGGGCCGUGUCUCAGUCCCAAUGUGGCCGAUCACUCUCUCAAGUCGGCUACUGAUCGUUGCCUUGGUAGGCCGUUACCCUGCCAACUAGCUAAUCAGACGCGGGUCCAUCCUGUACCACCGGAGUUUUUCACACUGUACCAUGCGGUACUGUGCGCUUAUGCGGUAUUAGCAGUCAUUUCUAACUGUUAUCCCCCUGUACAGGGCAGGUUACCCACGCGUUACUCACCCGUGCGCCGGUCGCCAUCACAGAUAGCAAGCUACCUGCAUGCUGCCCCUCGACUUGCAUGUGUUAAGCCUGUAGCUAGCGUUCAUC
RNAcentral lists this ribosomal RNA (320 nucleotides) under uncultured Lachnospiraceae bacterium. RNAcentral's name for it is "partial 16S ribosomal RNA". The record is from RNAcentral. Lineage: Bacteria; Bacillati; Bacillota; Clostridia; Lachnospirales; Lachnospiraceae.